RNAcentral lists this ribosomal RNA (408 nucleotides) under uncultured bacterium. RNAcentral's name for it is "partial 16S ribosomal RNA". It matches the Rfam family "Bacterial small subunit ribosomal RNA", at positions 28 to 526 of the family's 1533-position model. The record is from RNAcentral.
GAUGAACGCUGGCGGCGUGCCUAACACAUGCAAGUCGAACGGGAGGGCGGACGGGUGAGUAACACGCGGGCAACCUGGGUCAUAGAGGGGGAUAACAGAGAGAAAUUUCUGCUAAUACCGCAUACGAUGAGAUGGACCCGGGUUGGAUUAGCCAGUUGGCAGGGUAAGAGCCUACCAAAGCGACGAUCAGUAGCCGACAUGAGAGGAUUGACGGCCACAUUGAGACUGAGACACGGCCCAAAAUCUUACGGGAGGCAGCAGUGGGGGAUAUUGCACAGUGGGGGGAACCCUGAUGCAGCGACGCCGCGUGAGUGAAGAAGUAUUUCGGUAUGUAAAGCUCUAUCAUCAGGGAAGCGGUACCUGAAUAAGAAGCCCCGGCUAACUACGUGCCAGCAGCCGCGGUAAUAC